GUCUGUGGUGAUGCUACCCUGAACGCGCCCAGUCUCAUUUGAUCUCGGAAGCUAAGCAGGGUCAGGCCUGGUUAGUCCUUGGAUGGGAGACAUCUCUGGCUCAGCACAUC
Molecule: ribosomal RNA, 110 nt
Filed under: Propithecus coquereli (Coquerel's sifaka)
Lineage: Eukaryota; Metazoa; Chordata; Mammalia; Primates; Indriidae
Source: RNAcentral